Molecule: ribosomal RNA, 453 nt
Filed under: uncultured Alloprevotella sp.
Lineage: Bacteria; Pseudomonadati; Bacteroidota; Bacteroidia; Bacteroidales; Prevotellaceae
Description: bacterial SSU rRNA
Rfam family: Bacterial small subunit ribosomal RNA
Source: RNAcentral
ACGGGAGGCAGCAGUGAGGAAUAUUGGUCAAUGGGCGGAAGCCUGAACCAGCCAAGUCGCGUGAAGGAUGAAGGUAUUAUGUAUUGUAAACUUCUUUAGACGUAGAGAAAUAAGGCGCUCGAGAGCGCUGAUGCUAGUAUACGUAGAAUAAGGAUCGGCUAACUCCGUGCCAGCAGCCGCGGUAAUACGGAGGAUCCGAGCGUUAUCCGGAUUUAUUGGGUUUAAAGGGAGCGUAGGCGGAUUAUCAAGUCAGUGGUAAAAUCGUGUGGCCCAACCAUACCUCGCCAUUGAAACUGUUAGUCUUGAGUGCACGCAGGGAUGCUGGAAUUCGUUGUGUAGCGGUGAAAUGCUUAGAUAUGACGAAGAACUCCGAUCGCGAAGGCAGGUGUCUGGAGUGCAACUGACGCUGAGGCUCGAAAGUGCGGGUAUCAAACAGGAUUAGAUACCCUGGUA